RNAcentral lists this ribosomal RNA (562 nucleotides) under uncultured archaeon. RNAcentral describes it as "bacterial SSU rRNA". It matches the Rfam family "Archaeal small subunit ribosomal RNA", at positions 89 to 652 of the family's 1478-position model. The record is from RNAcentral.
CUCAGUAACACGUGGAUAACCUGCCCUUAGGACUGGCAUAACCCCGGGAAACUGGGGAUAAUUCCGGAUAGUUCAUGGUAGCUGGAAUGCUCCAUGAUCGAAAGCUAUUGCGCCUAAGGAUGGGUCUGCGGUCUAUCAGGUAGUAGUGGGUGUAAUGUACCUACUAGCCGACGACGGAUACGGGUUGUGGGAGCAAGAGCCCGGAGAUGGAUUCUGAGACAUGAAUCCAGGCCCUACGGGGCGCAGCAGGCGCGAAAACUUUACAAUGCGGGAAACCGCGAUAAGGGGACACCGAGUGCCAGCAUCUUAUGUUGGCUGUCCGCAUGUAUAAAUCACAUGUGUUAGCAAGGGCCGGGCAAGACCGGUGCCAGCCGCCGCGGUAACACCGGCGGCCCGAGUGGUGGCCACUAUUAUUGGGUCUAAAGGGUCCGUAGCCGGUUUGGUCAGUCUUCCGGGAAAUCUGACGGCUUAACCGUUAGGCUUUCGGGGGAUACUACCAGGCUUGGGACCGGGAGAGGUAAGAGGUACUACGGGGGUAGGAGUGAAAUCUUGUAAUCCUCGU